RNAcentral lists this long non-coding RNA (270 nucleotides) under Lathyrus oleraceus (garden pea). RNAcentral's name for it is "Pisum sativum (pea) long non-coding RNA (PSAT_LNC008040)". Lineage: Eukaryota; Viridiplantae; Streptophyta; Magnoliopsida; Fabales; Fabaceae. The record is from RNAcentral.
UUAAAACUUACACUUUAUAUAUUGUUCUAAAGAAAUUUUUUAUGUUAAAACUUACACUUUAAAUAUUGUUCUAAAGAAAAAAUUUAUAUUAAAACUUACACUUUAAGUAUAAAUGUACAACCUGGAAAGAUAAAAAAAAAAGUUAAAACUUACCCUUAAAGCCAAUUUUCGUGUUUGUAUAGAUUUAUACCCUAAAAAAAAUACAAAUGUGUAAAACAUUGAUGAAGAUAAAAAGAUGAGAGGUAAAUGAAUGAGUGAAUGAGAGAAUGA